GGCUCGGUGGUGGAUGGUCCACACCUGCUUUUUUGUAGAAACUUGUCUUCAACAACAUUAGCCGGCAAGAGAGGCCUGUUCGAAUCAGGCUCGAGCCA
Non-coding RNA from Mycena latifolia, 98 nucleotides. NCBI's taxonomy places the organism in Eukaryota, Fungi, Basidiomycota, Agaricomycetes, Agaricales, Mycenaceae. The record is from the annotation of a GenBank genome assembly.